AGAGCGAACGCUGGCGGCAGGCCUAACACAUGCAAGUCGAGCGCCCGUAGCAAUACGGGAGCGGCAGACGGGAUAGUAACACGUGGGAACGCGCCCUUCGGUUCGGAAUAACUCAGGGAAACUUGAGCUAAUACCGGAUACGCCCUUACGGGGAAAGAUUUAUUGCCGAAGGAACGGCCCGCGUCCGAUUAGCUAGUUGGUGAGGUAAUGGCUCACCAAGGCGACGAUCGGUAGCUGGUCUGAGAGGAUGACCAGCAUCACUGGGACUGAGACACGGCCCAGACUCCUACGGGAGGCAGCAGUGGGGAAUAUUGGACAAUGGGCGCAAGCCUGAUCCAGCCAUGCCGCGUGGAUGAUGAAGGCCUUAGGGUUGUAAAGUCCGUUUUAACGGGGAAGAUAAUGACGGUACCGUAGAAUAAGCCCCGGACUAACUUCGUGUCAGCAGCCGC
Molecule: ribosomal RNA, 449 nt
Filed under: uncultured bacterium
Lineage: Bacteria
Description: SSU rRNA
Rfam family: Bacterial small subunit ribosomal RNA
Source: RNAcentral